RNAcentral lists this small nucleolar RNA (274 nucleotides) under Saccharomyces cerevisiae YJM1355. Its description in RNAcentral is "SNR191". It matches the Rfam family "Small nucleolar RNA snR191". Lineage: Eukaryota; Fungi; Ascomycota; Saccharomycetes; Saccharomycetales; Saccharomycetaceae. The record is from RNAcentral.
UACCAAACCUUUUUGUCAGGAUGCUUCUCUAUCCGUUUUAGGAUAAACUUAUCUACAGAAGUGUCUGUUACUGUUUUGGAAGAGUAAUACUGUUCGCUUAUCCAUAUUUCCCCGUUCUGGGGAAGCCUCAUGGGUAAAUUAGAAGGACAACCUUUGUUUUAAAGGUAUACCUUCGCUCUUUAGAACAGCGAGGAUCUUAUGAGUUGAGCUUUUGUUACUUGAGACUUUAUCUCGGGCUCCAUACAAUAUGUUCGUAGUAAAGAUCCUCACAAUU